AUGUGUGUGGAUUACAUGGAUCUUAACAAGGUUUGUCCAGCUGAUCCUUUUGCCCUCCCUCGCAUUGACCAGAUUAUUGACGCCACGGCAGGUUGUGAGUGCUUGAGUUUUUUGGAUGCGUAUUCUGGGUAUCAUCAGAUCAAAAUGGCGGUUAAGGACCAGGAGAAGACGGCGUUUAUUACUCCCUUUGGAGCCUUCUGCUAUGUAUCUAUGCCUUUUGGGCUCAAGAGCGCCCAAGCCACUUAUCAACGAUGUGUACAGAAUUGCCUGCAUAAACAGAUCGGCCGCAAUGUGCACGCCUAUGUGGAUGAUAUUGUAGUCAAGUCAAGGCAGAAGGAGACGCUGGUUGAUGAUUUGAAGGAAACCUUUGACAACUUGCGGGUUUAUAAGAUGAUGCUUAACCCUGCCAAAUGUGUCUUUGGUGUUCCGGCAGGCAAGUUACUGGGCUUUCUUGUGUCCAACAGAGGAAUUGAGGCUAAUCCGGAGAAGAUUACGGCUAUCACCUCCCUGGCUAAACCAAAGUGUAUCAACAAUGUUCAGCGUUUGGCGGGUCGGAUCACCGCACUGAGCCGGUUUAUCAGCCGCCUUGGAGAGAAGGCCAUCCCUUUAUACCAGAUGUUGAGAAAGACAGAUCAAUUCAUCUGGAGUCCAGCUGCUGAUGAAGCGUUGGAGGACUUGAAGCGGCAAUUAGCCAAUCCGCCCGUUCUUGCAGCUCCGGUCGACAAGGAGCCGUUAUUGUUAUACGUAGCGGCCAAUGCUCGUGCAGUUAGCGUGGCUAUUGUGGUAGAAUGCAAGGAGGCAGGCAAGGAGUAUCCGGUUCAGCGGCCGGUUUACUAUAUCAGCGAGGUGCUUAUUAAAUCCAAGCAAAGGUAUCCGCAUUGGCAGAAGCUGGUAUAUGGAGUUUUCAUGGCAAGCCGGAAGUUGAAGCAGUAUUUCCAAGGGCACCCCAUCACAGUGGUCAGUUCAGCUCCCUUGGGCGAUAUCAUACAGAACCGGGAGGCGACUGGCCGGAUUGCCAAGUGGGCCAUAGAACUUGGGCCGCACGGAUUGAAGUACGUGCCUCGGAUGGCGGUGAAGUCUCAAGCACUUGUUGAUUUCAUCAAUGAUUGGACGGAGUUGCAAGCACCAGAGGAAAAGCCGGAUCAUACAUAUUGGACUAUCCAUUUUGAUGGAUCCAGGCAAUUGGAAGGCUCGGGGGCUGGAGUCGUAUUAACUUCCCCACGAGGUGAUAAGUUUUGUUAUGUUCUCCGCUUAAUGUUCCCUUGUACUAAUAAUGCAGCUGAGUAUGAAGCUUUGCUCCAUGGUCUCCGGAUGGCUAAAGAGAUGAAUCUAAGUCAGGUUAAGUGCUUCGGUGACUCGGACCUCGUGGCUCAACAGGUAUCUGGUACUUGGGAUUCUGAGGACCCGCUUAUGGCUGCAUAUCGUCGUGAGGUGGAUAUUGUUGCGGGUCACUUCAAGGGUUAUCAGGUGGAGCACGUGGAUCGUCGAAAAAAUGAAGCGGCGGACGCUUUAAGCCGGUUGGGCUCUCAGCGUAAACCGGUCCCGCCUAAUGUCUUUCUUGAUGUGUUGCACAACCCGUCAGUCAAGCUUCCGGGUGAAGCAGAUUUGGCUAUUCCUGAUCUGGAGGCUCAAUUGGUGGCAGCCCUGCAUAUUAUACCGGAUUGA
Molecule: ribosomal RNA, 1665 nt
Filed under: Triticum aestivum (bread wheat)
Lineage: Eukaryota; Viridiplantae; Streptophyta; Magnoliopsida; Poales; Poaceae
Description: partial small subunit ribosomal RNA
Source: RNAcentral